RNAcentral lists this ribosomal RNA (449 nucleotides) under uncultured Anaerolineaceae bacterium. RNAcentral describes it as "bacterial SSU rRNA". It matches the Rfam family "Bacterial small subunit ribosomal RNA", at positions 919 to 1382 of the family's 1533-position model. The record is from RNAcentral. Lineage: Bacteria; Bacillati; Chloroflexota; Anaerolineae; Anaerolineales; Anaerolineaceae.
ACCCGCACAAGCAGCGGAGCGUGUGGUUUAAUUCGAUGCUACACGAAGAACCUUACCAGGGUUUGACAUGCAAGUGGUAGGAAUCUGAAAAGGGACCGACCCUUCGGGGAGCUUGCACAGGUGCUGCAUGGCUGUCGUCAGCUCGUGUCGUGAGAUGUUCGGUUAAGUCCGCUAACGAGCGCAACCCUCACUGUGUGUUAUAUGUGUCACACGGGACUGCCGGUUUUAAGCCGGAGGAAGUGGGGAUGACGUCAAGUCAGCAUGGCCUUUAUAUCCUGGGCUACACACACGCUACAAUGGUCGGUACAAUAGGUUGCCAAGCCGCGAGGCGGAGCCAAUCCACAAAGCCGGCCUCAGUUCAGAUUGUAGGCUGCAACUCGCCUGCACGAAGAUGGAGUUGCUAGUAACCGCAGGUCAGCAAUACUGCGGUGAAUACGUUCCCGGGUCUU